CGUGAGGUAACGGCUCACCAAGGCUAAGACGGGUAGCUGGUCUGAGAGGACGACCAGCCACACUGGAACUGAGACACGGUCCAGACACCUACGGGUGGCAGCAGUCGAGAAUUUUUCACAAUGGGCGCAAGCCUGAUGGAGCGACGCCGCGUGGGGGAUAAAUGGCUUCGGCCCGUAAACCCCUGUCAUUUGCGAUCAAACCUUAUUAUUUAAAAGAUGAUAAGUUGAUAGUAGCGAAAGAGGAAGGGUCGGCUAACUCUGUGCCAGCAGCCGCGGUAAUACAGAGGUCCCAAGCGUUGUUCGGAUUCACUGGGCGUAAAGGGUGCGUAGGUGGUGGGGUAAGUCGGAUGUGAAAGCUCGGAGCUCAACUCCGAAAUGGCAUUGGAAACUACCCUGCUAGAGGAUUGGAGGGGGGACUGGAAUACUUGGUGUAGCAGUGAAAUGCGUAUAUCAAGUGGAACACCAGUGGCGAAGGCGAGUCCCUGGACAAUACCUGACACUGAGGCACGAAAGCUAGGGGAGCAAACAGGAUUAGAUACCCUGGUAGUCCUAGCCGUAAACGGUGCACGUUUGCUGUAAAAGGAAUCGACCCCUUUUGUGGCGUAGCUAACGCGUUAAACGUGCCGCCUGGGAAGUACGGUCGCAAGAUUAAAACUCAAAGAAAUUGACGGGGGCCUGCACAAGCGGUGGAGUAUGUGGCUCAAUUCGAUCAACGCGAAGAACCUUACCUGGCCUUGACAUGCAUAUAGUAGAAGGGUGAAAGCCUGACGAGGUAGCAAUACCAGUAUGCACAGGUGCUGCAUGGCUGUCGUCAGCUCGUGUCGUGAGAUGUUGGGUUAAGUCCCGCAACGAGCGCAACCCCUGUGUCCUGUUGCCACCCGGCCGAGAGGCUGGAGCACUCUGGACAGACUGCCUCGCUUAAACGAGGAGGAAGGUGGGGAUGACGUCAAGUCAGUAUGGCCCUUACGGCCAGGGCUGCACACGUACUACAAUGCCCGGCACAAAGGGAAGCAAGACCGCAAGGUGGAGCAAAUCCCCAAAAACCGGGCCCAGUUCAGAUUGUCGUCUGCAACUCGACGACAUGAAGUUAGAAUCGCUAGUAAUGGCGCAUCAGCUACGGCGCCGUGAAUACGUUCCCAGGCCUUGUACACACCGCCCGUCACAUCAUGAAAGCCGUUUGUACCCGAAGUCACUGUGCCAACCGCAAGGGGGCAGGUGCCGAAGGUAUGGAUGGUGAUUGGGAUGAUUCGAAACAAGGUA
This 1260-nucleotide ribosomal RNA is filed under the name metagenome. RNAcentral's name for it is "bacterial SSU rRNA". It matches the Rfam family "Bacterial small subunit ribosomal RNA", at positions 251 to 1498 of the family's 1533-position model. The record is from RNAcentral.